RNAcentral lists this ribosomal RNA (253 nucleotides) under uncultured bacterium. RNAcentral's name for it is "partial 16S ribosomal RNA". It matches the Rfam family "Bacterial small subunit ribosomal RNA", at positions 524 to 776 of the family's 1533-position model. The record is from RNAcentral.
UACGUAGGGUGCGAGCGUUGUCCGGAAUUAUUGGGCGUAAAGAGCUUGUAGGCGGUUUGUCGCGUCUGCCGUGAAAAUCCGGGGCUCAACCCCGGACUUGCGGUGGGUACGGGCAGACUAGAGUGUGGUAGGGGAGACUGGAAUUCCUGGUGUAGCGGUGAAAUGCGCAGAUAUCAGGAGGAACACCGAUGGCGAAGGCAGGUCUCUGGGCCACUACUGACGCUGAGGUGCGAAAGCGUGGGGAGCAAACAGG